Molecule: ribosomal RNA, 112 nt
Filed under: Caerostris darwini
Lineage: Eukaryota; Metazoa; Arthropoda; Arachnida; Araneae; Araneidae
Source: RNAcentral
AACGGCCAUACCAGACUGAUUAUACCGGUUCUCGUUCGAUCACCGAAGUCAAGCAUGAUUGGGCGCGGUCAGUACUUGGGUGGGUGACCACCUGGGAACACCGCGUGCCGUU